Molecule: long non-coding RNA, 1030 nt
Organism: Drosophila innubila
Lineage: Eukaryota; Metazoa; Arthropoda; Insecta; Diptera; Drosophilidae
Exons: 2
Source: RefSeq, a predicted model, not a curated record
AUUCCCUUCCCUUUCCACCUACCCCCCCUCAAAACAUGAGCCCAUUACCACUUUGCUUCUAUCGUGUACAUGUAUGGAAUGUAGCUUGUAAGCUUUUAUUUUUUAUUUUUUACUAUUACUUUUACUUUUAAUCCAUCAUGGCUUAAGUACUUUUACCCUAUAUAAGACAAAACCCUCCAACCAAUGCAUUUUAGGGGAAUCCCAAUAAGAGAAUUACUGAUCUUGUCGCGCUUAUGUUGAAUGUGCUUUUGUGCUUUUACUUUUUUGUGCUUAAAUCUAAAUAUAUAGCUGAAGCUUAGUGGCUGUCUCUGUCACUCACUCUCAGUCACAGUCUCUCUCUGGCUCUCCCUGUGUGUUGCCUCCGCUGCUCCUGCCUUUAUUAUCUAAUUGCCCUAAGCAUUGUGCGCUUUUAAGCCUUUACGUGAGGGAGCUUUUAAAAGCUUUAUCCAAGCUCGUGCGCUUGUAUGUGAAUGACGAUCUUGUGCUUGUCAAGUUGUAGAAUGAGUAGAGAGAAUUCCAGUGAUAAAAUAAUACAAAAGAACGAAUCGAUAACGAAUCAAACGUUAAAUAAUUGAAACGAAUUGAUUAAGUGAAAAGAAAAGUGAACAAAAGUAUCAUAAAUAAUACAAUUUCUAUCACAUUUUGAGUGAUUCUAGGCGACGCUGCAAUUAGACAUGGAUAACUUGAAGGUAAACCUUAUAAAGUUUCACAUUAAGAUAUAUUGUAUUAAGCCAGUGUCAUUAUUAUGCUUUUUAUUAAUACUUCAAAAAACCACAAAGAAAAAAUAAUACAGUCUGUAAAUUUAUAUUUUUAAGCUUUCUAUACCACUUCCUUCCAUUAAGUACUUAACUUCUUUACCUGCCAUUUACAUUUUUCCAUUUGGCCAUUCAACUUUUUUGCUGUAUCCAACAGAGCUCUGUCUAUUGAUCAGUUUCAUUCUAUUCGUAAAAAAGCAGUGCACAAUUGGCAGUGUCCUUUUUCCAAUGUGCUUUUUAUCAUGCAAUAUUGAAUUUUCCCCUCUGAAAGCGAC